CAUCGAUGAAGAACGCAGCGAAAUGCGAUAAGUAAUGUGAAUGCCAGAAUUCAGUGAAUCAUCGAAUCUUGAAACGCACCCUGCGCUCCUUGGUAUUCCGAGGAGCAUGCCUGUUUGAGUGUCUGNAAAUCAUCAACCCCUUCGGUUUUGCGACUGACGCGGGUUGGACUUGGGGGGUUUGCUGCUGAAAGGCGGCUCCCCUUAAAUGUUUCGGUCGGGCCUGUAGGUCGACUUUGAUUGGGUGUUGUAUUAUCCUCGCUCCUGAAAGUCUCCUCUUUUGUGCCCUUCCACGACCUGCCUAUGGAGUGGCGGUCAAACUUUUCUGACAUCUGACCUCAAAUCAGGUAGGACUACCCGCUGAACUUAAGCAUAUCAAUAAGCGGAGGAAAAGAAACUAACAAGGAUUCCCCUAGUAACUGCGAGUGAAGCGGGAUGAGCUCAAAUUUGAAAUCUGGCGCUUUCAGCGUCCGAGUUGUAUUCUGGAGAAGCGUCUUCCGUGC
RNAcentral lists this ribosomal RNA (500 nucleotides) under uncultured fungus. Its description in RNAcentral is "eukaryotic LSU rRNA". The stretch from base 331 to 500 matches the Rfam family "Eukaryotic large subunit ribosomal RNA", at positions 1 to 170 of the family's 3401-position model. The record is from RNAcentral. Lineage: Eukaryota; Fungi.